GACGAACGCUGGCGGCGUGCUUAACACAUGCAAGUCGAACGGAAAGGCCCUGCUUUUGUGGGGUGCUCGAGUGGCGAACGGGUGAGUAACACGUGAGUAACCUGCCCUUGACUUUGGGAUAACUUCAGGAAACUGGGGAUAAUACCGGAUAGGCGAUUCUGCUGCAUGGGGGGGGUUGGAAAGUUUCGGCGGUUGGGGAUGGGCUCGCGGCUUAUCAGCUUGUUGGUGGGGUAGUGGCUUACCAAGGCUUUGACGGGUAGCCGGCCUGGGAGGGUGACCGGCCACAUUGGGACUGAGAUACGGCCCAGACUCCUACGGGAGGCAGCAGUGGGGAAUAUUGCACAAUGGGCGGAAGCCUGAUGCAGCGACGCCGCGUGCGGGAUGACGGCCUUCGGGUUGUAAACCGCUUUCGCCUGUGACGAAGCUUGUGUGACGGUAAUGGGUAAAGAAGCACCGGCUAACUACGUG
RNAcentral lists this ribosomal RNA (468 nucleotides) under uncultured bacterium. RNAcentral's name for it is "partial 16S ribosomal RNA". It matches the Rfam family "Bacterial small subunit ribosomal RNA", at positions 28 to 507 of the family's 1533-position model. The record is from RNAcentral.